CAGUAGCCGCGGUAAUACGAAGGGUGCAAGCGUUAAUCGGAAUUACUGGGCGUAAAGCGUGCGUAGGCGGUGAGUUAAGUCUGCUGUGAAAUCCCCGGGCUCAACCUGGGAAUGGCAGUGGAUACUGGCUCGCUAGAGUGUGUCAGAGGAUGGUGGAAUUCCCGGUGUAGCGGUGAAAUGCGUAGAGAUGUGGAGGAACACCAGUGGCGAAGGCGACUCUCUGGUCUGUAACUGACGCUGAGGCACGAAAGCGUGGGGAGCAAACAGGAUUAGAUACCCCAGUAGUCUCUGUCUCUUAUAC
This 301-nucleotide ribosomal RNA is filed under the name uncultured bacterium. RNAcentral's name for it is "partial 16S ribosomal RNA". It matches the Rfam family "Bacterial small subunit ribosomal RNA", at positions 509 to 807 of the family's 1533-position model. The record is from RNAcentral.